CCCCGCACUGACGUGCGGGGUUAGUGAAUUCCGUCCCCUUCGGGGACU
RNAcentral lists this small RNA (48 nucleotides) under Candidatus Sulfotelmatobacter kueseliae. Its description in RNAcentral is "Acido-Lenti-1". It matches the Rfam family "Acido-Lenti-1 RNA". The record is from RNAcentral. Lineage: Bacteria; Pseudomonadati; Acidobacteriota; Terriglobia; Terriglobales; Candidatus Korobacteraceae.